UGAGUAACCUGCCCUUCACUCUGGGAUAACUCCGGGAAACCGGAGCUAAUACCGGAUACGAGACCGAUUGGCAUCUUUACGGUCUGGAAAGUUUUUCGGCCAGGGAUGGGCUCGCGGCCUAUCAGCUUGUUGGUGGGGUGAUGGCCUAUCAAGGCUUUGACGGGUAGCCGGCCUGAGAGGGCGACCGGCCACACUGGGACUGAGACACGGCCCAGACUCCUACGGGAGGCAG
RNAcentral lists this ribosomal RNA (232 nucleotides) under uncultured bacterium. RNAcentral's name for it is "partial 16S ribosomal RNA". It matches the Rfam family "Bacterial small subunit ribosomal RNA", at positions 118 to 351 of the family's 1533-position model. The record is from RNAcentral.